Polyodon spathula (Mississippi paddlefish) is the source of this 317-nucleotide long non-coding RNA. RefSeq lists it as uncharacterized. NCBI's taxonomy places the organism in Eukaryota, Metazoa, Chordata, Actinopteri, Acipenseriformes, Polyodontidae. The record is from RefSeq and is a predicted model, not a curated record. The transcript has 3 exons.
CUCUUUCCUGCCAGUAACCAGCCUGGGCCGUGGUGCUAUCCUCUCAAAUCACACAUUUCCACUAGAAGAAUGUGUUUUGUUUGGAGCAUGAAGCCAGGAUGCAGUUUUGUUUCUGAACCACAAGUACAAUUACUUCAAAGCACAGAGUCAAACACUAACCUCCAACCAUACAAGAGAGGCACCAAUUACUUCCUGAAGGUCUACAAUAAAGCCAGCUCUUGGGAGUUCCUCACUAGAACUGUUCCCAAUUCAACCUCCUUUGGCAAACUGUCAGAAGACAGUUAACACAGUUCUGGAGCUGUCACCAUGGGCCAGCA